CAGUCGCCGCGGUAAUACGGAGGGGGCUAGCGUUGUUCGGAAUUACUGGGCGUAAAGCGUACGUAGGCGGCUUUGUAAGUUAGAGGUGAAAGCCUGGUGCUCAACACCAGAACUGCCUUUAAGACUGCAUCGCUUGAACGUCGGAGAGGUGAGUGGAGUUCCGAGUGUAGAGGUGAAAUUCGUAGAUAUUCGGAAGAACACCAGUGGCGAAGGCGGCUCACUGGACGACUGUUGACGCUGAGGUACGAAAGCGUGGGGAGCAAACAGGAUUAGAUACCCCCGUAGUCCCUGUCUCUUAUAC
Molecule: ribosomal RNA, 301 nt
Filed under: uncultured bacterium
Lineage: Bacteria
Description: partial 16S ribosomal RNA
Rfam family: Bacterial small subunit ribosomal RNA
Source: RNAcentral